CUUGACUUUAGGACUUAUUAUACAGUUAUAAUAAUUAAGUAGUAGACAUAAAGAUCAAUGGAAAAGGAUAGAAUCUAAAAUGGACCCAUAUAUAUAUAGUCGUUUGAUUUUGACAAAGGUAUAAGGGUAAUUCAAUGAAGAGACACUGUUUUCAACAAACAGAUGGUGCUGGCAUAACUAGACAUCAAUAUGGGGGAAAAAAUGAACCUCAGCCUUUAUAUUAUCAUUUGCAUAAAUGAACUUAAAACGGAUCAUUGUCUUAAAUGUAAAAGCUAAAGCUUUUAAAUUUUUAGAAGAAAAUAUAGGAGAAAUUCUUUCUCAUAGCAAGUUAGGCAAAAUUUCCUGAAUGUAAAAAAAAAAAAAAAAAAAGAGUAAGAAAAACAUUAUAAAAUGGAGUUCAUUAAGAUCAUUAUGGUCACCCUUACCUGACCUCUUAAGAAGCUAGAGUCCCUUCUUGUGAAACUGAUCAUUUCAAGAGGAAAGAAUGAGACCUAAAGAAUAGAAGUUACUUAACAAUACAGCCCACAUCAACCACUAGAGUGAAAUCCCCUUUGCGGAUCUGUCUGGUCAAAGUACACUCAUAUUCUAUCAGUUUAGGACACUUCUAGUUUCAAGAAGAGGGUCAAGGAUCACUGGGCAGUAAAAUAACAUUGCAACAUUAAAACAGAUUUAUAUGAGUUAGAGAAAGUCAUGAUGCAAUUGCUGUACCACAUGAUUCUGUUUUUUGUGGGUCCUUCUAAUUAAUAUAUAUACUAAAAAAAAGCUUGUUUCUAUAUUUUUUAUUGAAAACUUAUGGAAAUGAUAAUAGUUUAAGCUGAUCUUUCUCACAUUUUUGGGGUCCUUUCCUGGUUGGUCUCCAAAGUACAGCUCCAGACAACAGCUUUUCAAAAUGCGGACUACAAUUCAGAAGUGGACCAUGGCAGCAACUCACUGGCAUGGAAACUCUUUGGUAAAUGUCAUGGACAUCAACAACAGUGGGAAAUACAAAGUUUUGGACUUGACCAUCAGAUCCCGGGAAUGUACUGGACACAAUCUCUUGAGACCCUCCUAGAGGACAAUGGCUGCAGAUAACGCCUCCUCUGUGACAGAGUU
RNAcentral lists this long non-coding RNA (1092 nucleotides) under Canis lupus familiaris (dog). Its description in RNAcentral is "lncRNA (ENSCAFG00030000363.1)". Lineage: Eukaryota; Metazoa; Chordata; Mammalia; Carnivora; Canidae. The record is from RNAcentral.